RNAcentral lists this ribosomal RNA (607 nucleotides) under Cryptococcus sp. CBS 6097. Its description in RNAcentral is "eukaryotic LSU rRNA". It matches the Rfam family "Eukaryotic large subunit ribosomal RNA", at positions 59 to 653 of the family's 3401-position model. Lineage: Eukaryota; Fungi; Basidiomycota; Tremellomycetes; Tremellales; Cryptococcaceae. The record is from RNAcentral.
AAGAAACUAACAAGGAUUCCCCUAGUAACGGCGAGUGAACCGGGAAGAGCUCAAAUUUGAAAUCUGGCGUCCUUCGGGCGUCCGAGUUGUAAUCUACAGAAACGUUUUCCGUGCCGGACCGUGUCCAAGUCCCUUGGAACAGGGUAUCAGAGAGGGUGACAAUCCCGUACUUGACACGACGACCGGUGCUCUGUGAUACGUUCUCUACGAGUCGAGUUGUUUGGGAAUGCAGCUCAAAAUGGGUGGUAAACUCCAUCUAAAGCUAAAUAUUGGUGGGAGACCGAUAGCGAACAAGUACCGUGAGGGAAAGAUGAAAAGCACUUUGGAAAGAGAGUUAAACAGUAUGUGAAAUUGUUGAAAGGGAAACGAUUGAAGUCAGUCGUGACCGUCGGGUUCAGCCGGUUCUGCCGGUCUACUCCCUUCGGUCGGGUCAACAUCGGUUUUGACCGGCGGAUAAGGAAGGGAGGAAUGUGGCACCCUCCGGGGUGUGUUAUAGCCUCCCGUCGCAUACGUCGGUCGAGACCGAGGAACGCAGCUCGCCUUUAUGGCCGGGGUUCGCCCACGUCCGAGCUUAGGAUGUUGACAUAAUGGCUUUAAACGACCCGUC